UACAGAGGUGCCAAGCGUUAGGCGGAAUCACUGGGCUUAAAGCGCGUGUAGGUGGACGGGUAAGUAUCUUGUGAAAUCCCACGGCUCAACCGUGGAACUGCUGGAUAUACUGCUUGUCUUGAGGCACUUAGGGGCAGCUGGAACAAAUGGUGGAGCGGUGAAAUGCGUAGAUAUCGGGAGGAACAUCCAUGGCGAAGGCAGCUACCUGGACCAACACUGACACUGAGGCACGAAAGCGUGGGGAGCAAACAGG
RNAcentral lists this ribosomal RNA (253 nucleotides) under uncultured bacterium. RNAcentral describes it as "partial 16S ribosomal RNA". It matches the Rfam family "Bacterial small subunit ribosomal RNA", at positions 524 to 776 of the family's 1533-position model. The record is from RNAcentral.